GCGUGUGUGAAGAAGGCCUGCGGGUUGUAAAGCACUUUCAGUUGGGAGGAAAAGCUCAAGAUUAAUACUCUUGAGUCUUGACGUUACCAACAGAAGAAGCACCGGCUAACUCUGUGCCAGCAGCCGCGGUAAUACAGAGGGUGCAAGCGUUAAUCGGAAUUACUGGGCGUAAAGCGCGCGUAGGUGGUUUGAUCAGUCGGAUGUGAAAGCCCCGGGCUCAACCUGGGAACUGCAUUCGAUACUGUCUGACUAGAGUAUGGUAGAGGGAAGUGGAAUUUCCGGUGUAGCGGUGAAAUGCGU
Molecule: ribosomal RNA, 300 nt
Filed under: uncultured bacterium
Lineage: Bacteria
Description: bacterial SSU rRNA
Rfam family: Bacterial small subunit ribosomal RNA
Source: RNAcentral